UGGACUGUCUGUCUAUACUGUCUGCUUCAGGCUGAUGGCCAUUUUGUCCCACCCCCCCGCCCCUAAAACCAUAUACACCGCUUUUGAAAAUGCUUUACAAUCAUUCUUGUGGCGAGAGGAGAUGUGUUUGUACACGUGUGUGUGUGUGUGUGUGUGUGUGUGUGUGU
This is a long non-coding RNA of Etheostoma spectabile (orangethroat darter), 167 nucleotides long. RefSeq lists it as uncharacterized. The transcript has 3 exons. NCBI's taxonomy places the organism in Eukaryota, Metazoa, Chordata, Actinopteri, Perciformes, Percidae. The record is from RefSeq and is a predicted model, not a curated record.